This 423-nucleotide ribosomal RNA is filed under the name uncultured bacterium. RNAcentral's name for it is "bacterial SSU rRNA". It matches the Rfam family "Bacterial small subunit ribosomal RNA", at positions 356 to 773 of the family's 1533-position model. The record is from RNAcentral.
GGGGAAUAUUGCACAAUGGACGAAAGUCUGACGGAGCAACGCCGCGUGAGUGAUGAAGGUUUUCGGAUCGUAAAGCUCUGUUGCCAGGGAAGAACGUCUUCUGGAGUAACUGCCAGGAGAGUGACGGUACCUGAGAAGAAAGCCCCGGCUAACUACGUGCCAGCAGCCGCGGUAAUACGUAGGGGGCAAGCGUUGUCCGGAAUUAUUGGGCGUAAAGCGCGCGCAGGCGGCUGUUAAGUCUGGUGUAUAAUCCUGGGGCUCAACUCCGGGUCGCACUGGAAACUGGACGGCUUGAGUGCAGAAGAGGAGAGUGGAAUUCCACGUGUAGCGGUGAAAUGCGUAGAGAUGUGGAGGAACACCAGUGGCGAAGGCGACUCUCUGGGCUGUAACUGACGCUGAGGCGCGAAAGCGUGGGGAGCAAAC